Molecule: ribosomal RNA, 879 nt
Filed under: Pontomalota opaca
Lineage: Eukaryota; Metazoa; Arthropoda; Insecta; Coleoptera; Staphylinidae
Also listed under: 3 other names
Description: SSU rRNA
Rfam family: Eukaryotic small subunit ribosomal RNA
Source: RNAcentral
UAGUGACGAAAAAUAACGAUACGGGACUCAUCCGAGGCCCCGUAAUCGGAAUGAGUACACUUUAAAACUUUUCCCGAGGAUCAAUUGGAGGGUAAGUCUGGUGCCAGCAGCCGCGGUAAUUCCAGCUCCAAUAGCGUAUAUUAAAGUUGUUGCGGUUAAAAAGCUCGUAGUCGAAUCUGUGUCCCGCGCCGCUGGUUCAUCGCUCGCGGUGUUCAACUGGCGUGUCUCGCGGGACGUCCUGCCGGUGGGCGCUCGUAUCGUUUCGGCGGUGCGUGGCCCAACUCGUAGCCGUCUCGCGCGGUUGCGAAUCCCAUCGCGGUGCUCUUUAUUGAGUGUCGAGGUGGGCCGGCACGUUUACUUUGAACAAAUUAGAGUGCUUAAAGCAGGCUCAUUUUGCCUGAAUAUUGUGUGCAUGGAAUAAUGGAAUAGGACCUCGGUUCUAUUUUGUUGGUUUUCGGAACCCCGAGGUAAUGAUUAACAGGAACGGAUGGGGGCAUUCGUAUUGCGACGUUAGAGGUGAAAUUCUUGGAUCGUCGCAAGACGGACAGAAGCGAAAGCAUUUGCCAAAAACGCUUUCAUUGAUCAAGAACGAAAGUUAGAGGUUCGAAGGCGAUCAGAUACCGCCCUAGUUCUAACCAUAAACGAUGCCAGCUAGCGAUCCGCCGACGUUCCUCCGAUGACUCGGCGGGCAGCUUCCGGGAAACCAAAGCUUUUGGGUUCCGGGGGAAGUAUGGUUGCAAAGCUGAAACUUAAAGGAAUUGACGGAAGGGCACCACCAGGAGUGGAGCCUGCGGCUUAAUUUGACUCAACACGGGGCACCUAACCAGGUCCGGACACCGGAAGGAUUGACAGAUUGAGAGCUCUUUCUUGAUUCGGUGG